UGUUUGUAUAGUGUGUGUAUAUAAUGCAGUGUGUUUAUAUAAUGCACACUACACAAACACACUGCAUUAUAUACACACACUAUACAAAC
Molecule: non-coding RNA, 89 nt
Organism: Pelobates cultripes (western spadefoot toad)
Lineage: Eukaryota; Metazoa; Chordata; Amphibia; Anura; Pelobatidae
Source: the annotation of a GenBank genome assembly